UUGUCCAAUCCUAAUAACACAAAUCACUCUCUAUCCAAGGCCUGCAAUGUGAAGUGAUGGAUCCAGAGGUAGGUAAACAUCCUAGGCACACACUGAGAACAGAAUGAAUAAUCAAGCGGUAUGGUAGUUAUAUGAUUAACAACACCAUUGCAAAUAACAACACUCAAUCUUCGUGGGUGCAAAAGAUUAGGUGAAGAUGAUGUCAGAAAUGGUGUUUUUAAUCAUAUAACAUCCAGGUAACUUGACAAUUCCUUCUAUUCUCAAUUUGUUUCUACCAUAUUUUCCUUGGCAAUGGAUCCAUCUCCUAGCAUUACAGACCUUGGUUGGAGAAUGCUUUCGAUAAUUGGGAUUGACUAAGAGUUUACCAAGUUGGUUAGUCAACUGUUGAAUCCUGGCCCUAAUUAUUCUAGAUUGGAUCAAUCAACUUCUUGGUUUGAAAUUAGUGGAGGACACUAAAGACUGCUAAUAUUGGAAGGACAAAGAAAGCUGGUUCCAGGAAUAGAAGGACAUCGAGAAUGGAAGAACAGUCAUGGUAUCUAAGUACCAUAAAAUCACAAUAAGAACAUAUCAAAGGAAAAUCUCAGCCUCUAAUGUUAUGAAAAAUCAAAUCAAGACUUUGGAAGAUAGAAGAGUAUCUCGCCAAAAAUAUGGAGGAUCACGACUUUCAAAUAGUAUGGCAAACAGAUCAAUCAAAUAUCACAAAAAUGGUAGAAGGAUCACAAUCCCAAAAUCAUGGUAGACCAAAUCAAUCAAGAAGAUAAAAUUAUGAGCACAUUUGGAAAGGCAACAAUCUCUACAAAACCAAAAAAAAAUUAGAUCCCGGACAUAUCUGAUAUGGACAUGAUCCAAAGCCAUAUAUGUACAUAUCAUAUAGCUAUAUUCCUCAAUGAAGGAAUCAAUUACGUCCUUUAUAGAGAAGAAAUUCCUUA
Molecule: long non-coding RNA, 929 nt
Organism: Capsicum annuum
Lineage: Eukaryota; Viridiplantae; Streptophyta; Magnoliopsida; Solanales; Solanaceae
Exons: 2
Source: RefSeq, a predicted model, not a curated record